AUUGAACGCUGGCGGCAUGCUUUACACAUGCAAGUCGGACGGCAGCACAGAGAAGCUUGCUUCUUGGGUGGCGAGUGGCGAACGGGUGAGUAAUAUAUCGGAACGUACCGAGUAAUGGGGGAUAACUAAUCGAAAGAUUAGCUAAUACCGCAUAUUCUCUGAGGAGGAAAGCAGGGGACCUUCGGGCCUUGCGUUAUUCGAGCGGCCGAUAUCUGAUUAGCUAGUUGGUGGGGUAAAGGCCUACCAAGGCGACGAUCAGUAGCGGGUCUGAGAGGAUGAUCAGCCACACUGGGACUGAGACACGGCCCAGACUCCUACGGGAGGCAGCAGUGGGGAAUUUUGGACAAUGGGCGCAAGCCUGAUCCAGCCAUGCCGCGUGUAUGAAGAAGGCCUUCGGGUUGUAAAGGACUUUUGUCAGGGAAGAAAAGGCUGUUGCUAAUACCGACAGCUGAUGACGGUACCUGAAGAAUAAGCACCGGCUAACUACGUG
RNAcentral lists this ribosomal RNA (490 nucleotides) under uncultured bacterium. Its description in RNAcentral is "partial 16S ribosomal RNA". It matches the Rfam family "Bacterial small subunit ribosomal RNA", at positions 30 to 507 of the family's 1533-position model. The record is from RNAcentral.